GGAGAGGUGCCGGAGCGGUUGAACGGGGCGGUCUCGAAAACCGUUGAGCCUUCGCGGGCUCCCAGGGUUCGAAUCCCUGCCUCUCCG
Molecule: transfer RNA, 87 nt
Filed under: Anaerolineae bacterium
Lineage: Bacteria; Bacillati; Chloroflexota; Anaerolineae
Also listed under: 2 other names
Description: tRNA-Ser
Rfam family: tRNA
About the family: Transfer RNA (tRNA) molecules are approximately 80 nucleotides in length. Their secondary structure includes four short double-helical elements and three loops (D, anti-codon, and T loops).
Source: RNAcentral